This 403-nucleotide ribosomal RNA is filed under the name uncultured bacterium. Its description in RNAcentral is "bacterial SSU rRNA". It matches the Rfam family "Bacterial small subunit ribosomal RNA", at positions 355 to 774 of the family's 1533-position model. The record is from RNAcentral.
UAGGGAAUAUUGCAAAAUGGGCGAAAGCCCGAUGCAGCAACGCCGCGUGGGCGAUGAAGGCCUUCGGGUCGUAAAGCCCUUUUUGAGGGGAUGAGGAAGGACAGUACCCUCAGAAUAAGCCUCGGCUAACUACGUGCCAGCAGCCGCGGUAAAACGUAGGAGGCGAGCGUUAUCCGGAUUUACUGGGCGUAAAGCGCGUGCAGGCGGAUUGGAGAGUUGGAUGUGGAAGCUCCCGGCUUAACUGGGAGAGGUCGUUCAAUACUUCCAGUCUUGAGUGCAGUAGAGGGAAGUGGAAUUCCGGGUGUAGUGGUGAAAUGCGUAGAUAUCCGGAGGAACACCAGUGGCGAAAGCGGCUUCCUGGACUGUAACUGACGCUCAGACGCGAAAGCUAGGGUAGCAAACG